Molecule: ribosomal RNA, 911 nt
Filed under: Alternaria alternata
Lineage: Eukaryota; Fungi; Ascomycota; Dothideomycetes; Pleosporales; Pleosporaceae
Description: LSU rRNA
Rfam family: Eukaryotic large subunit ribosomal RNA
Source: RNAcentral
UAGCAUAUCAAUAAGCGGAGGAAAAGAAACCAACAGGGAUUGCCCUAGUAACGGCGAGUGAAGCGGCAACAGCUCAAAUUUGAAAUCUGGCUCUUUUAGAGUCCGAGUUGUAAUUUGCAGAGGGCGCUUUGGCUUUGGCAGCGGUCCAAGUUCCUUGGAACAGGACGUCACAGAGGGUGAGAAUCCCGUACGUGGUCGCUGGCUAUUGCCGUGUAAAGCCCCUUCGACGAGUCGAGUUGUUUGGGAAUGCAGCUCUAAAUGGGAGGUACAUUUCUUCUAAAGCUAAAUAUUGGCCAGAGACCGAUAGCGCACAAGUAGAGUGAUCGAAAGAUGAAAAGCACUUUGGAAAGAGAGUCAAACAGCACGUGAAAUUGUUGAAAGGGAAGCGCUUGCAGCCAGACUUGCUUACAGUUGCUCAUCCGGGUUUUUACCCGGUGCACUCUUCUGUAGGCAGGCCAGCAUCAGUUUGGGCGGUAGGAUAAAGGUCUCUGUCACGUACCUCCUUUCGGGGAGGCCUUAUAGGGGAGACGACAUACUACCAGCCUGGACUGAGGUCCGCGCAUCUGCUAGGAUGCUGGCGUAAUGGCUGUAAGCGGCCCGUCUUGAAACACGGACCAAGGAGUCUAACAUCUAUGCGAGUGUUUGGGUGUCAAGCCCGAGCGCGUAAUGAAAGUGAACGGAGGUGGGAACCCGCAAGGGUGCACCAUCGACCGAUCCUGAUGUCUUCGGAAGGAUUUGAGUAAGAGCAUGGCUGUUGGGACCCGAAAGAUGGUGAACUAUGCUUGAAUAGGGUGAAGCCAGAGGAAACUCUGGUGGAGGCUCGCAGCGGUUCUGACGUGCAAAUCGAUCGUCAAAUUUGGGCAUAGGGGCGAAAGACUAAUCGAACUAUCUAGUAGCUGGUUCCUGCCGAU